CGGAAUCAAUUUAUUAACAUUGUUUUGUUAUCCAGCUGGUAGCUUGAUAUAAUUUAAAUAUUUAAUUUAAUUAAUUAUUUGAAUAUUUAAACAUGAAAUACAAUCGGUAAAUUCAGUUUAAAUGAGAAUUGAUGUGCUUCGUCUCUCAGAGAAUUAUCCCGUACGGUUCACAGAAACGAGCGUCUCAGACGACACAUUUGGACGACACCAAUUUUGACACCACAGUAGUGGCAAUGGAAAGUAAUGCAGAUACUCUUGAAGAUAUAACAGAUAAUAAGCAGGGCAUGAACGAAGUAUGGAGGAUCUGUUUGAAAAUUCCAGACAUGAGAAAGAAAAUGACAGGGAGAGAUGUCCAGUUCAACGUUACCAGGACAAUUCAGCAAAGUUCCAACAGAUAUAAAAAAUCUGAAUUUGAGGCAAAUAUAUACUGUCAUGUAUAUAUAUACACAUGAUAUAAGAUGGAUAAAGUACAUGAUACUUUAGCAGUGCUUCAGAGAAUCACAUUUGGCUACAGAAGUUUGUAGUAUUUUGGUUGUAAUCAAGUUAUUAAGCUGAAGCUUCAUAGUAAAACAGAUCUAGGCUACACCUUCACUAUUCAAGUCAGACUUUAAAAGGAAGCCUUUUUUGUUGAUAGCUGAACAUAUGAAGAAACUUUCAAAAGAGUGGAGCAUUUAGAAGACGGAACAAUCAAAUAUUAUUUGUUACUAUUUCAGUAACUUUUCAAAUGUUAACUGUUUAGAAUAUUCUUAAAUAUAAAUAUAAUUGAAUUUAA
Molecule: long non-coding RNA, 772 nt
Organism: Mytilus californianus (California mussel)
Lineage: Eukaryota; Metazoa; Mollusca; Bivalvia; Mytilida; Mytilidae
Exons: 5
Source: RefSeq, a predicted model, not a curated record